Long non-coding RNA from Balaenoptera musculus (blue whale), 309 nucleotides. RefSeq lists it as uncharacterized. The record is from RefSeq and is a predicted model, not a curated record. NCBI's taxonomy places the organism in Eukaryota, Metazoa, Chordata, Mammalia, Artiodactyla, Balaenopteridae. The transcript is spliced from 2 exons.
UCCGGCCCUGAAAUUACUGGCCUCCGGGUCGGCAGUGUGGCCCACUGCGAUAAUAAUGGUUGCCGGGAUGGCCUUGGACAGCUGGAUGAAGAGCAGAGCAAGCCGGAGCUGGCACCGUGGGAGGUCCCGGGGUGGCCGGAGGUAAAAAUGAACAAGAACCCUAAAAUGUAUUGACAAGAAUCCUCUCCAAGCCCCCUAUAGACAGGAGAGCCCAUCUUCCUGGGGAUGGGAAUGCUGUGAGGCAACAUUUUACCAUUGGGGUAUGAACAAAGUCAACUUGUGGGCAAAAAUAAAAAUUCACUGAAUGCA